This is a long non-coding RNA of Neodiprion virginianus, 871 nucleotides long. RefSeq lists it as uncharacterized. The transcript has 5 exons. Lineage: Eukaryota; Metazoa; Arthropoda; Insecta; Hymenoptera; Diprionidae. The record is from RefSeq and is a predicted model, not a curated record.
UGUUUCUGCAGCAGAUGCUCAACGUGCAUCUACAGGUAAAUAUAAUUAUAUGAAACAAUUCUAAAAAAAUUAAUUACAGCUUAUAAUAAAUACAAAUAUAUUCAUUUUUCCUUAAUUUCCAAUAACAUAACCUAUCUUUAUGAAUGAAAACUAAAUGCAGAAUUUGCGACACGACUUUUGAAUAAAGCUUUAAACGAACAACCACAAGCAUCAACGUCUGUUGAUCUUACUGAUGAAAAUCUUCAAUUUUCUGAGGCUGACACAGAUCAAUUUAUUGAUCAAGAAUUCCUCACUACAGAAGAUACUGUUUAUUCCAACUCUGAAACUCAAGAAAGCGAAGCUUCUUUGUAUAGGUGGAGCACGCCUUGUGUUUUGUUAUUAUUAGAGUCUUAUAGAGCAUUGGAAAAAGAUUUUUAUAGUGGAAAAAUAUCCCAAAAGAAAAUUUGGGAAAAAGUUGCCAAAGAAUUGAAGGUAAAAGGACAUGAUGUAACUGGACCACAAUGUUCUUCAAAGCUGCGAAGCUUAAAAAAAACUUACAAAUCUAUUAAAGAUCAUAAUAAUAAAUAAGGAAAUGACAGAAGGACUUGGCAGUUUUUUGAUAUAAUGGAAGAGAUUUUUUCCAAAAAAGCUUGGUGUGAUCCAGUUGCCGUUGCAUCUUCUACGGGUUUAUCAAAAAAAUCAUUACAAACUAAUGAUAGUAUGGGAGGAUCUGAUAGUGGAUGUUCAAUAAAAUCAAAGAAGACACCAGUUGUCACUUUAUUAGGAAAAAGACUGAAGCAAAAAGAAGAACACGAAGCACAGAAAAAUAAAAGACACAAAGAGCGAAUGGAAAUGGAUGAAAAAUUUCUCAACGUUCUAGAAAAAUUAGCUA